GAUGAAGAACGUAGCGAAAUGCGAUACGUAAUGUGAAUUGCAGAAUUCAGUGAAUCAUCGAAUCUUUGAACGCACAUUGCGCCCCUUGGUAUCCCGAGGGGCAUGCCUGUUCGAGCGUCAUUUCACCACUCAAGCCUGGCUUGGUGUUGGGCGACGUCCUCUUUGGGGACGCGCCUCGAAACGCUCGGCGGCGUGGCACCGGCUUUAAGCGUAGCAGAAUCUUUCGCUUUGGAAGUCGGGGCCCCGUCUGCCGGAAGACCUGCUCGCAAGGUUGACCUCGGAUCAGGCAGGGAUACCCGCUGAACUUAAGCAUAUCAAUAAGCGGAGGA
This 329-nucleotide unclassified non-coding RNA is filed under the name soil metagenome. Its description in RNAcentral is "partial contains 5.8S ribosomal RNA, internal transcribed spacer 2, and large subunit ribosomal RNA". The stretch from base 1 to 120 matches the Rfam family "5.8S ribosomal RNA", at positions 35 to 154 of the family's 154-position model. The record is from RNAcentral.